RNAcentral lists this long non-coding RNA (852 nucleotides) under Mus caroli (Ryukyu mouse). RNAcentral describes it as "lncRNA (MGP_CAROLIEiJ_G0003331.1)". Lineage: Eukaryota; Metazoa; Chordata; Mammalia; Rodentia; Muridae. The record is from RNAcentral.
UCAUCAAGGGGUGGGCUGGCCUCAUUGCAACCUCAUCCUACCUGGCUGGCCUACAGCACUAAGUCUGGCAGGGCUCAGAGAAGGAAGCUUCCAAGUGGACUUCAUGCAUCUGAAAAGGAGCCACUCUGGGAGCUGCCUUGGAGGCAGCUCUUCUCACUACCUAGGUAACAGCUCUGUCAUCUAUGGCUCAAACGUCACUCACCAGGGAGUUGCUGCAGACCUGUAUGUAUCCUUAUCAGAGAAAUAGANGCUAUUGAGAACCUAAGCCGGUGCCUCAUGGAUAAGGAAACUCCAUGGAAGUUAGAGCUGCCCUGUAAUUUGCAUCCCCCAUAUCUUAGAAACCAGAAUGAAAGGUCUACAGCAGAGACUGAAGAGAGGAAGGCUCAUCACUUGGACCACCAAAGAACUAAGAAAGGUCUCAAGAUCCCUCUGCUAUGGUUAAAUCUAGUCAAGCAACCCAUCCCAGCAAGAGGCAGGAGGCGGUUCAGAGAGUCAUCAAAGCCAUUUUCACAAGGUAGACAUAGGACUGGGGGAAUUAAAGGUUUUCAUGGCCUCACUUGCCAACCUGCCCCCCAAGGCUCUGGGUGAGUACCUAUUAACUUCUCUCCANUCUCUAAUCCCAAAUCAAUCUCCACUUUGCAUAUCGACAUGAAAGCCAAUGGCGGUGCCGGCUAAGGUCAGCCGACUCCAAGGAAAAAGCCUCAGGGGCAGGCAGAUAUGGAGCCAGGUGCUGGGAAAGGCAGUAGGAGAAACCUCAAGCUGGGCUUUACGUCUACCAGCGACUCCCUCCCCUACUGCUGCCAAUGCCUGAGGCACCAGGGCAGUUUGUAUCUUCUCAAGGUGUUUCCUCAG